GUUGCCAGCAGUUCGGCUGGGCACUCUAAAGGGACUGCCGGUGUUAAACCGGAGGAAGGUGGGGAUGACGUCAAGUCCUCAUGGCCUUUAUGACCAGGGCGACACACGUGCUACAAUGGCCGGCACAACGGGAAGCGAGUUCGCGAGGACGAGCGGAUCCCUCAAAGCCGGUCGCAGUUCGGAUUGAAGUCUGCAACUCGACUUCAUGAAGCUGGAAUCGCUAGUAAUCGUGGAUCAGCCAAGCCGCGGUGAAUACGUUCCCGGGCCUU
RNAcentral lists this ribosomal RNA (269 nucleotides) under uncultured Synergistaceae bacterium. RNAcentral describes it as "partial 16S ribosomal RNA". It matches the Rfam family "Bacterial small subunit ribosomal RNA", at positions 1114 to 1382 of the family's 1533-position model. The record is from RNAcentral. Lineage: Bacteria; Thermotogati; Synergistota; Synergistia; Synergistales; Synergistaceae.